GAAUUAGUUUCUUAAAAACAAGGUCAUAGCAUUCUAAUUAACUUUGAAAGUUUAUAUGCAUCAGAAAACUUAUACAAAUAUAAAUGAAAAAAUUUCAUCCAUUCUUUUUCCAGUUUUAAUGGGAUAUUUACACUAUUGUGAUUGAUGCUUAUGUGAAUUGAACUCUUGUUGACUGAUUCUUUUUCCCUUAAUCCUGACUUUAAGGGGAUAGGUGAAGUUAUCAAGUUAAGUGAAGUUAUAUAUUGUGAAGUCAUACAUGGCUUUUGGACAGUACUAUAUUUCAGUUGCAUUACAUUUCAUUUCAUAAAAUGCAUUUGAUAAAAUUUUCAAACAACUGUGGGAAAUGACUGAUCGAGUGCCUGACAAUUUAAGCCACAUGUAAAGUAUGCAAGUAAAAAUCUCUGCAGUUUAUCUCAAUAUAUGAAUAAAAAGAAGGUCUGUU
Long non-coding RNA from Lagenorhynchus albirostris (white-beaked dolphin), 442 nucleotides. RefSeq lists it as uncharacterized. The record is from RefSeq and is a predicted model, not a curated record. NCBI's taxonomy places the organism in Eukaryota, Metazoa, Chordata, Mammalia, Artiodactyla, Delphinidae. The transcript has 2 exons.